Molecule: ribosomal RNA, 495 nt
Filed under: Octaviania sp. JL12.1
Lineage: Eukaryota; Fungi; Basidiomycota; Agaricomycetes; Boletales; Boletaceae
Description: eukaryotic LSU rRNA
Rfam family: 5.8S ribosomal RNA (bases 150-304)
Source: RNAcentral
AAGAUUAAUAGAUUGUUGCUGGCUAGGUGAUUCUAGCAUGUGCACAUCUUUAUUACCAUCUUCACACUUGUGCACCUAUUGUAGAUUCCUAGUGGAUCUAUGUUUUUAUUACACUAUAUUGUAUGUCCCAAGAAUGUUUUCUAUUAUACAACUUUCAGCAAUGGAUCUCUUGGCUCUUGCAUCGAUGAAGAACGCAGCGAAUUGCGAUAAGUAAUGUGAAUUGCAGAUUUUCAGUGAAUCAUCGAAUCUUUGAACGCACCUUGCGCUCCUUGGUAUUCCAAGGAGUAUGCCUGUUUGAGUGUCAUUUAAUUAUCAAUCUUAGGAUUGGACUUGGGAUUUGCUGGCUUUGAGUAGUCAGCUGUCCUUAAAUGUAUUAGCAAGUCAAGUCUUGACGUGCACGGCCUGUCUUCGGUGAUAAAUGAUCCGUUGGUCCGGGCUGGAAGCGUUAUUAGGAAACUUGCUUAUAAUUAUUGUGUAAUCAAAAAUUUUGACCUC